GACAGAGGGUGCAAACGUUGUUCGGGAUUACUGGGCGUAAAGCGCGUGUAGGUGGCGAGGCAAGUCGGGUGUGAAAGCCCUGGGCUCAACCCAGGAAGUGCACUCGAUACUGCCUAGCUAGAGUCCCGGAGAGGUUGGUGGAACUCUCGGUGUAGAGGUGAAAUUCGUAGAUAUCGAGAAGAACACCGGUGGCGAAGGCGGCCAACUGGACGGUGACUGACACUGAGACGCGAAAGCGUGGGGAGCAAACAGG
Molecule: ribosomal RNA, 253 nt
Filed under: uncultured bacterium
Lineage: Bacteria
Description: partial 16S ribosomal RNA
Rfam family: Bacterial small subunit ribosomal RNA
Source: RNAcentral